UACGUAGGUGGCGAGCGUUGUCCGGAUUUACUGGGCGUAAAGAGCGCGCAGGCGGUCGUACAAGUCGCGUGUGAAAGCCCCCGGCUCAACUGGGGAGGGUCACGCGAUACUGUUCGACUCGAAGGCAGGAGAGGGAAGCGGAAUUCCCGGUGUAGUGGUGAAAUGCGUAGAUAUCGGGAGGAACACCAGUGGCGAAGGCGGCUUCCUGGCCUGUUCUUGACGCUGAGGCGCGAAAGCUAGGGUAGCAAACGGG
RNAcentral lists this ribosomal RNA (253 nucleotides) under uncultured bacterium. Its description in RNAcentral is "partial 16S ribosomal RNA". It matches the Rfam family "Bacterial small subunit ribosomal RNA", at positions 524 to 776 of the family's 1533-position model. The record is from RNAcentral.